GACGUAGGAGGCGAGCGUUGUCCGGAGUUACUGGGCGUAAAGGGUGCGCAGGCGGCCGUCUGUAGUGUCGGGUGAAAGCCCCUGGCUCAACUGGGGGAGGGUCCGGCAAACGGGGCGGCUGGAGGCUCGGAGAGGGACGUGGAAUUCCGGGUGGAGCGGUGAAAUGCGUAGAGAUCCGGAAGAACACCCACGGCGAAGGCAGCGUCCUGGCCGAGUACUGACGCUCAGGCACGAAAGCGCGGGGA
RNAcentral lists this ribosomal RNA (245 nucleotides) under uncultured bacterium. RNAcentral describes it as "partial 16S ribosomal RNA". It matches the Rfam family "Bacterial small subunit ribosomal RNA", at positions 524 to 767 of the family's 1533-position model. The record is from RNAcentral.